CAGCAUCACCUGGUUCUCUCAGUUCAGCUGUCAUCUGAUGUAUAGUCAAUUACCCAAUCUUUUAACCUCUUAGGACUUUCUCACCCAGUUAAGAUGAAUCUGGCAGGGCAAGAUUUCUACAUUUCUUCACAAGGGAAACAAAAUUAGGAUAAACCGGGACAUUCAAAAUCAGGUAACUACAACAAACACACCUGUGAAAAGAAGGUCAAGCUGCAGUACGGAAGAUUACUUUUAAAAAAGCUGAUGUUUUCAAAUCAGCAGGUUCUGAUGACUUGACCUGGUGAUCAAGAAUGAAGAAGCUUCCCUAUUCAGCUCUUCUUGUGGUCUGGCUCCACCCUGCUCCAACUAUCAACAAAAACCUUCCUUGCCGUGUUCUGCUCCUCUCUAUAAAGUCUAGUGUCCUGGGGUCUGAAUUCUUUUGGAGUCAGAAGACUUCCCCUUUCCCAUCCUGCAAGCAAGUGAAUUUAUCUUAAGAGCAAGUGAAUUAAUCUUUAAAAGUUGAUUUGUGGUUAAUUUUCAGGAGACUUGCGCAGACUUAUGGUGCUUGACUCAAGUGCCGUAAUUUCUGAGUUAUUGCUCUAUAUGUGUUGUUAUAGAUUUAGGUUUAGCUGUUUAACUCUGCUUUCU
Molecule: non-coding RNA, 627 nt
Organism: Phascolarctos cinereus (koala)
Lineage: Eukaryota; Metazoa; Chordata; Mammalia; Diprotodontia; Phascolarctidae
Source: RefSeq, a predicted model, not a curated record